UAUUACUUAGCCAAGAUAUUUGUAUUGAUCUAUGAUUCAUAAUUUUUCUCCAGCAACUAUUAUGUCAGGAUUAAAUGAAGCUCUAUUGGUUUUACUGAAGAACAUACCUACAGUUUUCGAAAUAUUUAGUUGCAGGCAGUUCUCCUGCAGCCAGGAUGUAACACGAGUUAUUAACGGUGUCAUCCGCAUACAUUAAACAUUCUACUUCAGAGCAAACAUUAGGAAGUCAUUGAUAUAAAGGCUAAAUAAGAGUGGUCCUAAUAUUGAGCCCUGAGGAACCCCGGUGGUUAUCCUAAGCGACUCAGAAUUGCAGUUGUUAAUUAGUACAGAUUUUGUACAAUCAUGCAGGUAGGAUUCAAACCAGCUAACAGUGUCA
Long non-coding RNA from Carassius carassius (crucian carp), 376 nucleotides. RefSeq lists it as uncharacterized. NCBI's taxonomy places the organism in Eukaryota, Metazoa, Chordata, Actinopteri, Cypriniformes, Cyprinidae. The record is from RefSeq and is a predicted model, not a curated record. The transcript has 3 exons.